Molecule: ribosomal RNA, 497 nt
Filed under: uncultured bacterium
Lineage: Bacteria
Description: partial 16S ribosomal RNA
Rfam family: Bacterial small subunit ribosomal RNA
Source: RNAcentral
GAUGAACGCUGGCGGCGUGCCUAAUACAUGCAAGUCGAGCGAACGGACGAGAAGCUUGCUUCUCUGAUGUUAGCGGCGGACGGGUGAGUAACACGUGGAUAACCUACCUAUAAGACUGGGAUAACUUCGGGAAGCCGGAGCUAAUACCGGAUGAUAUUUUGAACCGCAUGGUUCAAAAGUGAAGGACGGUCUUGCUGUCACUUAUAGAUGGAUCCGCGCUGCAUUAGCUAGUUGGUAAGGUAACGGCUUACCAAGGCAACGAUGCAUAGCCGACCUGAGAGGGUGAUCGGCCACACUGGAACUGAGACACGGUCCAGACUCCUACGGGAGGCAGCAGUAGGGAAUCUUCCGCAAUGGGCGAAAGCCUGACGGAGCAACGCCGCGUGAGUGAUGAAGGUCUUCGGAUCGUAAAACUCUGUUAUUAGGGAAGAACAUAUGUGUAAGUAACUGUGCACAUCUUGACGGUACCUAAUCAGAAAGCCACGGCUAACUACGUG